Molecule: ribosomal RNA, 468 nt
Filed under: uncultured bacterium
Lineage: Bacteria
Description: partial 16S ribosomal RNA
Rfam family: Bacterial small subunit ribosomal RNA (bases 52-468)
Source: RNAcentral
GGGGGGGGGGGGGGGGGGGGGGGGGGGGGGGGGGGGGGGGGGGGGGGGCGGGCGGUGGGGGGGUGGUGGAGUGGGGGACGGGUGAGUAACGGGUGAGUGACCUGCGCUGGACUUUGGGGUGGCUUCAGGACACUGGGGCUAAGUCCGGAUGGGGGCUCCUUCUGCGUGGUGUGAGUUGCAAGGGUUCGGCUGUUGGGGAUGGACUCGCGGCUUAUCAUCUUGGUGGUGGAGUAUUGGCUUACCAAGGCGUUGACGGGUAGCCGGCCUGAGAGGGUCACCGGCCACAUUGGGACGGAGAUACGGCACAGACUCCUACGGGAGGCAGCAGUGGGGAAUAUUGCACAAUGGGCGGAAGCCUGAUGCAGCAACGCCGCGUGCGGGAGGACGGCCUUCGGGUUGUAAACCGCUUUCGCCUGUGACGAAGCGUGAGUGACGGUAAUGGGUAAAGAAGCACCGGCUAACUACGUG